Molecule: ribosomal RNA, 403 nt
Filed under: uncultured bacterium
Lineage: Bacteria
Description: partial 16S ribosomal RNA
Rfam family: Bacterial small subunit ribosomal RNA
Source: RNAcentral
GACGAACGCUGGCGGCGUGCCUAAUACAUGCAAGUCGAACGCAGUGGGGACGGGUGAGUAACACGUGGGUAACCUCCCAUCAGAGGGGAUAACACUUGGAAACAGGUGCUAAACCGAUACUGAUGGAUGGACCAGCGGUGCAUUAGCUAGUUGGUGAGGUAACGGCGCACCAAGGCAGUGAGGCAUAGCCGACCUGAAAGGGUGAUAAGCCACACUGUGACUGAGACACGGCCCAGCCUCCUACGGGAGGCAGCAGUAGGGAAUCUUAGGCAAUGGACGAAAGUCUGACCGAGCAACGCAGCGUGAGUGAAGAAGGUUUUCGUAGCGUAAAACUCUGUUGUUAGAGAAGCGGUAUCUAACCAGAAAGCCACGGCUAACUACGUGCCAGCAGCCGCGGUAAUUC